This 611-nucleotide ribosomal RNA is filed under the name Phaffia rhodozyma. RNAcentral's name for it is "partial 26S ribosomal RNA". It matches the Rfam family "Eukaryotic large subunit ribosomal RNA", at positions 38 to 630 of the family's 3401-position model. Lineage: Eukaryota; Fungi; Basidiomycota; Tremellomycetes; Cystofilobasidiales; Mrakiaceae. The record is from RNAcentral.
GCAUAUCAAUAAGCGGAGGAAAAGAAACUAACAAGGAUUCCCCUAGUAACGGCGAGUGAAGCGGGAUGAGCUCAAAUUUGAAAUCUGGCAGCCUCCGGUUGUCCGAGUUGUAAACUAGAGAAGCGUUUUCCGUGCCGGCCUGUGUACAAGUCCCUUGGAAUAGGGCGUCAUAGAGGGUGAGAAUCCCGUCCUUGACACAGACCACCGGUGCUAUGUGAUACGCUCUCGACGAGUCGAGUUGUUUGGGAAUGCAGCUCAAAUUGGGUGGUAAAUUCCAUCUAAGGCUAAAUAUUGGCGAGAGACCGAUAGCGAACAAGUACCGUGAGGGAAAGAUGAAAAGCACUUUGGAAAGAGAGUUAAACAGUACGUGAAAUUGUUGAAAGGGAAACGAUUGAAGUCAGUCAUGCGUGCUCGGACUCAGCUGGGUUCGUCCCAGUCUAUUUCCGGGUGCCGCAGGUCAGCAUCAGUUUCGGGCGGUGGAAAACGGGCGGGGGAAGGUGGCAUCUCCGGAUGUGUUAUAGCCCCCGUUUGGAUGCAUCGCGUGGGACUGAGGAACGCAGCGCGCCCUUCACGGGCCGGUCUCCGGACACGAACGCGCUUAGGAUGCUGGC